AGACCAUCCUAGCCAACAUGGUGAAACCCCGUCUCUACUAAAAGUACAAAAAAAUUAGCCGGGCGUGGUGGAGCAUGCCUGUAAUCCCAGCUACUCGGGAGGCAGAGCCAGGAGAAUCCCUUGAAUCAGGGAGUUGGAGGUUGCAGUGAGCCGAGAUCGCGCCACAGCACUCUAGCCUAGCGACAGAGCGAGACUCCGUCUCAAAAAAAAAAAAAAGAUUGUCUUCAUCCAAGCCAGUUUCCAUUUCUUGGACACACAUUGCUGGUCAGCCAAUCAGAUGCUGGUAUUGAGGUGAAAACAGAAACGAUUUCUGCCUCUGGAUUCUCUGAGAUUCGUGGGAAAAAUGGUAUCCCUAAAAAACAAAGCAAGACACAAAAACCUGACCCCGGUGAGAUGGUGCAAGAACUUGCAAAGUAAAAUGCACUUGGAAACUCCCUGGGACAUAGUGCAGUGUCUCCUGAGAGGUCAUAAAAGAGAGAUGGGGUUCUGUCAGGCCUCUGAGCCCAAGCCUGCACAUAUACAUCCAGAUGGCCUGAGGCAACUGAAGAACAAUGAAAGAAGUGAAAAUGGCCAGUUCCUGCCUUAACUGAUGACAAUCCACCAUUGUGAUUUGUUCCUACCCCACCCUGACUGAUCAAUUAACCUUGUGACAUUCCUUCUCCUGGACAAUGAGUCUCAGAAGCUCCCUUACCGAGCACCUUGUAAUCCCCCCCACCCCGCUGCCUGCAAGAGAAAAAUUCCCUUUGACUGUAAUUUUCCACUACCUACCCCAAUCCUAUAAAACUGCCCCACCCCUAUCUCCCUUUGCUGGCUCUGUUUUCAGACUCAGCCCACUUGCACCCAAGUGAAAUAAACAACCUUGUUCCUCACACAAAGCCUGUUGGUGGACUCUCUUCACACAGAUGUGUGUGUCAUUUGGUGCUGAAGACCUGGGACAGGGGGAAUCCUUUGGGAGACUGGUCCCCUGUACUCACCCUCACUCCAUGAGGAGAUCCACCCAUGACCUUUGGUCCUCAGACCAGCCCAAGGAACAUCUCACCAAUUUUAAGUCUGGUUCUGCCUGCAGGGAAGAUUGUGACAUAUUGCUGGAAACAACACCAACAUAAUGUUGCUCUUUUGCCUGGGACCUGCCCUCAAAAGGCAUUGUGAUAUACUGGUGGGCCAAGCUCGAAGGUGAUGUGCGGGAUGGUUAAAUAUCACUGGACCUAGCACCUAGGGAAUGUGACUCUUGUCUUUUGCAUCAGCCCCACUCGUUUUGAGAACUGUAACAUAUCACUGGGCCAAACACCUAGAAGAUGGGAAGUGUCUGCCUAUGCCCUGCAAACAGGGCUUUAGCCCUACCACUCUCAAGAGCCUCGUGACAUAUCUCUGCAUUCAUCAUCUAGGAGAUGUGACUCCUCCCUGCUGCCUGCGCUCUGCCUACAGGGAAGACCAUAACAACAUUUGGCCCAGCAACACGGUGAUGUGUUUUUUCCCAGGGCCUUGCUCACAGGGAGCAUUGUGACAUAUCACUGGAACCAGCAUCCAGGGCUGUGACUCUGUGUCCUGCUGUUAGAACAGGAUUGUAACAUAUCACUGACCAAGCACCCAGGUGAUGUGACUCUUCUGCCUGGUGCCUGCCUUCAGGGAAAAUUGUGACAUAUGCCUGGCCUAGCACCAAAGUGAUGUGGCUCUCCUGCUACCUCUAUGCACAGGUGGGAUUGUGACAUAUACCUUCAUUCAGCUCAUAGGUGAGGUGAUAACUCUCAUACCACAAACCAAACAGUAGGAGAGAUGCUGUCUGUCAAAGCUAAGCUUACAGAAAUACACAAGAUUCAGGGACUUUUCUUUGUAUAAACAUUAUAGUAGAUUACUGCUCUCUUGUAUAUAAUAUAAACUUCUCAGGUGGUACAGAGAGUGUCAUCACAGGGCCCAGCGCACAGGUGAGAAUACAUUAUUUGUAUGCACGCCCCACCACCCAUUAGGAUUUUCACCCUCAAACAUGGAAAGAGCCUACUGGUAAGGUCUUGAAUCUCACACCUGGAUGCAGUCUACAGUUGAAAUUGUGAUUGUCAUAGGUGAAUAUCCAGCUGCAGUUGAGAUGGUGACUCAUUUCUAACUUAGCUCUGAGGCAGGUGAGGACUGUUUUAUUUGGAACCAGCCAAUUAUAAAGAUGUUGACUCUCAUAUUUGAGCUUAGUUCUACAGGUACAAUCAUGGGUCCAUAACAUCAUGAAGGUCAUAGAGCAGUUUGCAACUCUCAUUAAUACUGUAGAAGGCUCUUGGGUGGUACUGAGAGGGUCUUAGCAGAGCCCCGCACACAGGUGAGAUUGUGACACUCAUAUGCACACCCAGCCAACAAUAAAACUUUUCAUCUUUCCACAUGAACACAGCCCACUGUUGAGGUCCUGAGUCUCCCUUGUGAAAACAGUGCAAAGUUGAAAAAUUGACUCUUAUAUGUGGAUUUGGUUCACAGAUGGGUUGGUGAUGCUCAGACAAAUAUUCAGCACACCUGUGAGUCUGCGACUCCAGUAAUCAUCCACAGUCUGCAGGAGAAAUUGAGGCUCUCACCAACAAAUCAAGUGCACAAUUGAGAUUGCGACUCUUGUACUCAGACCCAACAUACAGAAUGUGUUGACUCUCAAUUUUAAAACCAGAACAUGUGACUGCCUGCAGGGGAUAUGGUGACAUUUUACUUUGCCCAGCACCAAGAUGACUUGAAUCUGCUGCCUUUGUUCUACUUUCAGAAGACAUUGUGACAUAUCGCUGGGCCUAGCACCAAGGUGAUGUGAAUCUUCUGCCUGGACCUGCUCACAGAGGGAAUUGUUACAUAUUUUUGACUUCAUCAACUAUUUGAUGUGACUCUCCUCUCUAACCUGGGCCUUGCCCAUAAAAAACAUUGUGGCUUAUCUCUGGGCCCAAAACCUAGGUGAUGUGACUGUCUUCUUAGGGUCAUGCCCACAGUAGAGAGAUGCCUUAUUGCUAAACCCAGCACACAGGUGAGGUGAUUCUUCUGUCUGGUCCCUGCCCACAGGGGUCAUGAUGACAUCUCUCUAAGCCCAUCACCUAGAUUAUGUGAGUUCUCUUUUUCUUCUGUUAGCUAUAUAGAAGAUUGUGACAUAUUGCUUGGCCCAGACCUCAUGUGAUGUGAAUCUCCUCUCAUGCCUUGGUCCUGUUUUUUUUUGGCCGUUGUUGUUUUGUUUUGUUUUUUGAGAUGGAGUCUUGCUCUGUUGCCUAAGCUGGAGUGCAGUGGCAUAAUCUAGGCUCACUGCAACCUCUGCCUCCUGGGUUCAAGUUAUUCUCCUGCCUCAGCCCCUGAAUAGCUAGGAUUAAAGGUGAGUGCCACCACACUCAGCUAAUUUUUGUAUUUUUAGUAGAGAUGGGGUUUCACCAUGUUGAUUAGGCUGGUAUUGAACUCCUGACUUCGUGAUCAACUCGCCUCUGCCUCCCAAACUUUUGGGAUUACAGGCAUGAGCCACCAUGCCCAGUCAAGAUGAUGAUACAUUUCUAAACCCAGGUUAUAGGCAGGUGAGGGUUCUUCUACCUAUACACACGUUUAAAGGGAUGUUGAAUCUCACACGUGGUCUCAGGGCCACAGGUACAAGCAUGGGUCUUCACCAGCAUGAAUAUCUCAGAGCAUACUGCGACUCUCCAGUGUAAUGUAUAAAGCUCUCAGGUGGGACAGUGUCCUAACAGGAUCCAGAACACAGAAAAGAUGUUGAUGCUCCUAUGCACACCCAGGUCACAGUAAAAUAUGUCAUUUUCCCACAUAAUCAUAGCCCAAUGUUGAGAUUCUGCAUCUCACACCUGAAAGAAGUUGAAAGAUGGAAAAUUGACUCUCUUAUAUAGAUCUGGUCUACAGGUAGGUUGGUGACAUUCAGAUCAAAAUUAAGUACACUUGUGAGGCUAUAACUCUUCUAAGAAGACACAGCUCACAGGAGCAACUGAUGCUCCUAUGAACAAAUCCAGUCCGUGAUUGAGAUUCUAACUCAUGUACUUAUUGUCAGGCCUCUGAGCCCAAGCUAAGCCAUCAUAUCCCCUGUGACCUGCACGUAUACAUCCAGAUGGCCUGAAGCAACCGAAUAUCCACAAAGGAAGUGAAAAUAGCCGUAACUGAUGACAUUCCACCAUUGUGAUUUGUUCCUGCCCCACCCUAACUGAUACGAUAUAUUCUCCCUCUGCCCUGAAGAAGGUACUUUGUAAUAGUCUCCCCCCACCUUAAAAAGGUACUUUGUAAUAUUCUCCCCACCCGUGAGAAUGUACUUUGUACACCUAUCCCAAACCUAUAAGAACUAAUGAUAAUCCCACCACGCUUUGCUGACUCCUUUUUUGGACUCAGCCCACCUGCACCCAGGUGAAAUAAACAGCCUUGUUGCUCAC
This 4358-nucleotide long non-coding RNA is filed under the name Homo sapiens (human). RNAcentral describes it as "HSALNT0257230". The record is from RNAcentral. Lineage: Eukaryota; Metazoa; Chordata; Mammalia; Primates; Hominidae.